Molecule: ribosomal RNA, 471 nt
Filed under: uncultured Alphaproteobacteria bacterium
Lineage: Bacteria; Pseudomonadati; Pseudomonadota; Alphaproteobacteria
Description: bacterial SSU rRNA
Rfam family: Bacterial small subunit ribosomal RNA
Source: RNAcentral
GAGUUUGAUCCUGGCUCAGAACGAACGCUGGCGGCAUGCCUAACACAUGCAAGUCGAACGCCCCGCAAGGGGAGUGGCGGACGGGUGAGUAACACGUGGGAACCUGCCCAAUGGUCUGGAAUAACCGCGGGAAACUGCGGCUAAUACCGGAUAAGCCCUCUGGCAGCAGGGGGGAAAGAUUUAUCGCCGAUGGAGGGGCCCGCGUCCGAUUAGGUAGUUGGUGGGGUAACGGCCUACCAAGCCUGCGAUCGGUAGCUGGUCUGAGAGGAUGAUCAGCCACACUGGGACUGAGAUACGGCCCAGACUCCUACGGGAGGCAGCAGUGGGGAAUAUUGGACAAUGGGGGCAACCCUGAUCCAGCAAUGCCGCGUGAGUGAUGAAGGCCUUAGGGUUGUAAAGCUCUUUUGGCGGGGACGAUGAUGACGGUACCGCAGAAUAAGCCCCGGCUAACUUCGUGCCAGCCGCCGCCGU